CAGUCGCCGCGGUAAUACAGAGGGUGCAAGCGUUAAUCGGAAUUACUGGGCGUAAAGCGCGCGUAGGUGGUUUGUUAAGUUGGAUGUGAAAUCCCCGGGCUCAACCUGGGAACUGCAUCCAAAACUGGCAAGCUAUAGUAUGGUAGAGGGUGGUGGAAUUUCCUGUGUAGCGGUGAAAUGCGUAGAUAUAGGAAGGAACACCAGUGGCGAAGGCGACCACCUGGACUGAUACUGACACUGAGGUGCGAAAGCGUGGGGAGCAAACAGGAUUAGAUACCCCCGUAGUCCCUGUCUUUAUACA
Molecule: ribosomal RNA, 301 nt
Filed under: uncultured bacterium
Lineage: Bacteria
Description: partial 16S ribosomal RNA
Rfam family: Bacterial small subunit ribosomal RNA
Source: RNAcentral